RNAcentral lists this ribosomal RNA (130 nucleotides) under Hypochnicium bombycinum. Its description in RNAcentral is "5.8S ribosomal RNA". It matches the Rfam family "5.8S ribosomal RNA", at positions 30 to 154 of the family's 154-position model. From Rfam's summary of the family: 5.8S ribosomal RNA (5.8S rRNA) is a component of the large subunit of the eukaryotic ribosome. The record is from RNAcentral. Lineage: Eukaryota; Fungi; Basidiomycota; Agaricomycetes; Polyporales.
GCAUCGAUGAAGAACGCAGCGAAAUGCGAUAAGUAAUGUGAAUUGCAGAAUUCAGUGAAUCAUCGAAUCUUUGAACGCACCUUGCGCUCCUUGGUAUUCCGAGGAGCAUGCCUGUUUGAGUGUCAUGGUA